GGUUCAUUCAAAUUUCUUCCCUAUCAACUUUCGAUGCGAGGGUAUUGUCCUCGCAUGGUUACAACGGGUAACGGAGGGUUAGGGCUCGACCCCGGAGAAGGAGCCUGAGAAACGGUACUACAUCCAAGGAAGGCAGCAGGCGCGCAAAUUACCCAAUCCCGACCGGGGAGGUAGUGACAAUAAAUACUGAUACAGGGCUUCUUUGGGUCUUGUAACCGGAAUGAGUACAAUUUAAAUCUCUUAACGAGGAACAAUUGGAGGGCAAGUCUGGUGCCAGCAGCCGCGGUAAUUCCAGCUCCAAUAGCGUAUAUUAAAGUUGUUGUGGUUAAAAAGCUCGUAGUUG
This 343-nucleotide ribosomal RNA is filed under the name uncultured fungus. Its description in RNAcentral is "SSU rRNA". It matches the Rfam family "Eukaryotic small subunit ribosomal RNA", at positions 292 to 636 of the family's 1831-position model. The record is from RNAcentral. Lineage: Eukaryota; Fungi.